RNAcentral lists this ribosomal RNA (286 nucleotides) under uncultured bacterium. Its description in RNAcentral is "partial 16S ribosomal RNA". It matches the Rfam family "Bacterial small subunit ribosomal RNA", at positions 335 to 613 of the family's 1533-position model. The record is from RNAcentral.
CUUCCUACGGGAGGCAGCAGUAGGGAAUCUUCCACAAUGGACGAAAGUCUGAUGGAGCAACGCCGCAUGAGUGAAGAAGGGUUUCGGCUCGUAAAGCUCUGUUGGUAGUGAAGAAAGAUAGAGGUAGUAACUGGCCUUUUUUUGACGGUAAUUGCUUAGAAAGUCACGGCUAACUACGUGCCAGCAGCCGCGGUAAUACGUAGGUGGCAAGCGUUGUCCGGAUUUAUUGGGCGUAAAGCGAGUGCAGGCGGUUUAAUAAGUUUUAUGUGAAAGCCUUCGUCUCAAC